CAGUCGCCGCGGUAAUACGAAGGGGGCUAGCGUUGUUCGGAUUUAUUGGGCGUAAAGGGUGCGUAGGCGGUUUGGCAAGUCUUGUGUGAAAUCUUCGGGCUCAACCCGAAGCCUGCACGAGAAACUACCGGGCUUGAGUAAUGGAGAGGUGAGUGGAAUUUCCGGUGUAGCGAUGAAAUGCGUAGAUAUCGGAAGGAACACCUGUGGCGAAAGCGGCUCACUGGACCAUUUCUGACGCUGAUGCACGAAAGCUAGGGGAGCAAACAGGAUUAGAUACCCGCGUAGUCCCUGUCUCUUAUAC
Molecule: ribosomal RNA, 301 nt
Filed under: uncultured bacterium
Lineage: Bacteria
Description: partial 16S ribosomal RNA
Rfam family: Bacterial small subunit ribosomal RNA
Source: RNAcentral